GGGCCCGCACAAGCGGUGGAGCAUGUGGUUUAAUUCGAUGCAACGCGAAGAACCUUACCUACUCUUGACAUCCAGAGAACCUUUUAGAGAUAGAAGGGUGCCUUCGGGAACUCUGAGACAGGUGCUGCAUGGCUGUCGUCAGCUCGUGUUGUGAAAUGUUGGGUUAAGUCCCGCAACGAGCGCAACCCCUUAUCCUUGUUUUGCCAGCACUUCGGGUGGGAACUCCAGGGAGACUGCCGUGAUAAACCGGAGGAAGGUGGGACGACGUCAAGUCAUCAUGCCCCUUACAUCCUGGGCUACACACGUACUACAAUGCUACGGACAAAGGGCAGCAAGUUCGCGAGGACAAGCAAAUCCCAUAAACGUGGCUCAG
RNAcentral lists this ribosomal RNA (373 nucleotides) under uncultured bacterium. RNAcentral describes it as "bacterial SSU rRNA". It matches the Rfam family "Bacterial small subunit ribosomal RNA", at positions 917 to 1291 of the family's 1533-position model. The record is from RNAcentral.